This 562-nucleotide ribosomal RNA is filed under the name uncultured bacterium. Its description in RNAcentral is "bacterial SSU rRNA". It matches the Rfam family "Bacterial small subunit ribosomal RNA", at positions 338 to 916 of the family's 1533-position model. The record is from RNAcentral.
CCUACGGGAGGCAGCAGUGGGGAAUAUUGGACAAUGGGCGAAAGCCUGAUCCAGCAAUGCCGCGUGAGUGAAGAAGGCCUUCGGGUUGUAAAGCUCUUUUACCCGGGAAGAUAAUGACUGUACCGGGAGAAUAAGCCCCGGCUAACUCCGUGCCAGCAGCCGCGGUAAUACGGAGGGGGCUAGCGUUGUUCGGAAUUACUGGGCGUAAAGCGUACGUAGGCGGCUUUGUAAGUCAGAGGUGAAAGCCCACGACUCAAUCGUGGAACUGCCUUUGAGACUGCUUCGCUUGAAGAUGGGAGAGGUUAGUGGAAUUCCGAGUGUAGAGGUGAAAUUCGUAGAUAUUCGGAAGAACACCAGUGGCGAAGGCGGCUAACUGGACCAUUCUUGACGCUGAGGUACGAAAGCGUGGGGAGCAAACAGGAUUAGAUACCCUGGUAGUCCACGCCGUAAACGAUGAUAACUAGCUGUCGGGGCUCUUGGAGCUUCGGUGGCGCAGCUAACGCAUUAAGUUAUCCGCCUGGGGAGUACGGCCGCAAGGUUAAAACUCAAAGGAAAUUGACGG